UUUUUGAAAAUAAUUUAAAGUCUAAUCUGCCCACUGAUAUUAUAUUGAAGGGCUGCAGUAAUUUGACUGUACAAAGGUAGCAUAAUCAUUAGUCUCUUAAUUGGUGACUUGUAUGAAGGAUUUGAUGAAAUAUGAACUGUCUCAUUUUAAUUUAUUGAAUUUAAUUUUUUAGUUAAAAAGCUAAAAUUUAAUUAAAAGACGAGAAGACCCUAUAGAGUUUAAUAAUUUAAUUAGUUAUUAUUUUAUAUAAUUUUUUUUUUAAAAAUUAAUUAAAUUAUUUUGUUGGGGUGAUAGAAAAAUUUAAUUAACUUUUUAUAAAAAUUAACAUUAAUUUAUGAAUAAAUGAUCCGUAAUUUACGAUUAUAAGAAAAAAUUACCUUAGGGAUAACAGCGUAAUUUUUUUUUUUAGUUCAAAUAAGAAAAAGAGUUUGCGACCUCGAUGUUGGAUUAAGAUAAAAUUUAAAUGCAAAAGUUUAAAAUUUUU
RNAcentral lists this ribosomal RNA (484 nucleotides) under Archon apollinus (false apollo). RNAcentral describes it as "partial 16S ribosomal RNA". Lineage: Eukaryota; Metazoa; Arthropoda; Insecta; Lepidoptera; Papilionidae. The record is from RNAcentral.